RNAcentral lists this unclassified non-coding RNA (348 nucleotides) under soil metagenome. RNAcentral's name for it is "partial contains 5.8S ribosomal RNA, internal transcribed spacer 2, and large subunit ribosomal RNA". The stretch from base 1 to 120 matches the Rfam family "5.8S ribosomal RNA", at positions 35 to 154 of the family's 154-position model. The record is from RNAcentral.
GAUGAAGAACGUAGCAAAAUGCGAUAAGUAAUGUGAAUUGCAGAAUUCAGUGAAUCAUCGAAUCUUUGAACGCACAUUGCGCCCGCUGGUAUUCCGGCGGGCAUGCCUGUUCGAGCGUCAUUUCAACCCUCAAGCCCCAGGGUUUGGUGUUGGGGAUCGGCUCUGCCCUUCUGGGCGGUGCCGCCCCCGAAAUACAUUGGCGGUCUCGCUGCAGCCUCCAUUGCGUAGUAGCUAACACCUCGCAACUGGAACGCGGCGCGGCCAUGCCGUAAAACCCCAACUUCUGAAUGUUGACCUCGGAUCAGGUAGGAAUACCCGCUGAACUUAAGCAUAUCAAUAAGCGGAGGA